AGCGGCGAACGGGUGAGUAAUGCUUCGGAAUCUGCCCAGUGGUGGGGAAUAACCAGCCGAAAGGUUGGCUAAUUCCGCAUAAGCCCUACGGGGGAAAGCAGGGGAUCGUAAGACCUUGCGCCGAUGGAUGAGCCGAAGCCGGAUUAGCUAGUUGGUAGGGUAACGGCCUACCAAGGCGACGAUCCGUAGCUGGUCUGAGAGGACGACCAGCCACACUGGGACUGAGACACGGCCCAGACUCCUACGGGAGGCAGCAGUGGGGAAUAUUGGACAAUGGGCGGAAGCCUGAUCCAGCAAUGCCGCGUGUGUGAAGAAGGCCUGAGGGUUGUAAAGCACUUUCAGUGGGGAGAAAGAGGCCGUUGUUAAUAGCGACGGUGGAUGAUGUUACCCACAGAAGAAGCACCGGCUAACUCUGUGCCAGCAGCCGCGGUAAUACAGAGGGUGCGAGCGUUAAUCGGAAUUACUGGGCGUAAAGGGUGCGUAGGUGGUUUUGUAAGUUAGAUGUGAAAUUCCUGGGCUUAACCUGGGGACUGCGUCUGA
RNAcentral lists this ribosomal RNA (540 nucleotides) under uncultured bacterium. RNAcentral describes it as "bacterial SSU rRNA". It matches the Rfam family "Bacterial small subunit ribosomal RNA", at positions 94 to 630 of the family's 1533-position model. The record is from RNAcentral.